RNAcentral lists this ribosomal RNA (385 nucleotides) under uncultured bacterium. RNAcentral's name for it is "bacterial SSU rRNA". It matches the Rfam family "Bacterial small subunit ribosomal RNA", at positions 29 to 416 of the family's 1533-position model. The record is from RNAcentral.
AUUAAACGCUGGCGGCAUGCCUUACACAUGCAAGUCGAACGGCAGCACGGGGGCAACCCUGGUGGCGAGUGGCGAACGGGUGAGUAAAGCAUCGGAACGUGCCCUGGAGUGGGGGAUAACGUAGCGAAAGUUACGCUAAUACCGCAUAUUCUGUGAGCAGGAAAGCAGGGGAUCGCAAGACCUUGCGCUUUGGGAGCGGCCGAUGUCGGAUUAGCUAGUUGGUGGGGUAAAGGCCUACCAAGGCGACGAUCCGUAGCGGGUCUGAGAGGACGUUCGCCACACUGGGACUGAGACACGGCCCAGACUCCUACGGGAGGCAGCAGUGGGGAAUUUUGGACAAUGGGCGCAAGCCUGAUCCAGCCAUGCCGCGUGCGGGACGAAGGCC